Long non-coding RNA from Halichondria panicea, 1858 nucleotides. RefSeq lists it as uncharacterized. Lineage: Eukaryota; Metazoa; Porifera; Demospongiae; Suberitida; Halichondriidae. The transcript is spliced from 7 exons. The record is from RefSeq and is a predicted model, not a curated record.
UACUCUAGAACAACCACCCACCAUUUGAACUUACCCUAAUGAAAAUUUUGCACGAGAAGCCAUGCAAUAAGUGACCCCCAAAAUUCUUGUGGUUCGAUAACUUUAUGAGUUUCGGGAUAAUUUGAGGGGGGCGUGUAUUUUGUGUGUUGAUCUCACUUGGAAUGACCCAAUGGCAUAUAUAAUUAUAAUUAUGAUGAUCGUUAUUAAUCUUGCUGCCUUCUCUGUAUUCAGUAUGCACUGCAUGGAAAUGUGUAGUCCUUAUAUUAAUCCCACGCUGAAAGUGCUGCUUUGUAUAAUUAUACUCUCUCCUUCACAAAAUGGUGUUGGUACAUGUACGUACGUCAUGUGAUUACAGUUGCUUAAUUAAGUUUCUUGGCAAUUUUGAGAGGCCGCUAAUAGCAAGAGUUCAUAAGUUCAUAAUAAAAGAGAGGGAGUAUCUAACGUAGCAUAACAUGUAUUUGGAAAGUAACGUAACUUCUUGCUUUGCUAUUUGCCUCGAGGCAGAAAAAAUGUAAUUGGCCAAAUCAUUAGUUGAUAACGCGUUUCAGACAGGGUGUAACGUUACACUCUGAAUACAUUUGAUGGAAGGUAACGAUAUGCUCGAUAUACUCUCUCUCUUUUAUUAUGGACUCUUGACAGAUUGUUGUCAGCUAGAGCUAGAGGAGGAAUGUUUGUGCUCAAACUUCAAAUUUUACUUUAAUGACCCCUUUACCUGUCAAUAUCAAUUGCAAUGUUGUUUGGGAGCAGAUCUUUACCAAAUACAUAUUAUGUUUUCAUACCUCCUAGAUUGAAUGAGAAGAAGUCCAGUCCUCUAGACAGUAUCAGAGGGCCUCCCUGGUUCCUAUACCAUCCACAGAGGUUGAGGAGAAGAGUGAAACCAUUCGAUGUCUAGAGGAUGACCUGCUGAGGGAGUUGGAGCAGAAGCUGCUCGAGAGGUCUCAAAUCAUGGACCUGGGUGUCGUGGCUGAGCUGGAGUGAGAAUUGGAACUGGCCAACAGCAAGGCAGUCUGCUGUGCAGCUAGGAGAGACGUGUGAUGGAGGAAGAGCUCAAGAAGGCACUGUGUAGACAUAUUCGAGUGCUACGAACAACAGUUUGAGGCGGAGUAAUGAAAUCAUACGCCUUCAAAAAGUGCAGAGAGUUCUUCCUGCGAGCAUCGACAGUGGACCCCCCGGACAGAAAGCUGGGUAUCGACGAGUAUUCUGACGUGACCCAGACCAUGCUCACCAAACUACAUCAGUCAGUGUCCAUGGAGAUAUGCUCCACCCACUCUGUUCAGGUUCGGAAAUGUUGUGUUUGAGAUCACAUCAGGCAGAUAGAGAAGGUGGAGCUGGUCCUCCAGGACCUCCUUCAGCUGCAAUACGAGGGCCUGGCAAUCAUGAAGAUGUUUAGAAGAUGUUUGGGAGGGCUAAAGUGAACGUUAAUUUGCUCAUCUUCCUCAUAAUUAUAUGAACAAAAGGCAUCAGAGCGUUAAAUUGGAUUUUCACUAGCAAAUUGCUUACAUGUGUUCAUUGACAAUUUACUGUGCAUGUGAGUAUCAUUAUUACCAAGGAAAAGCCCGUGUUAUGCCUCGAGGCGUAGCCGCACGAGGGAUACGGUAAAGCUGACUGUAUGUAUGUGUAUGUGUGUGUGUUUGUGUGUGUGUGUGUGUGUCUAUGUGUGUGUGUGUGUGUGUCUGUGUGUCUGUUAUUGUACAAGGAGAAGCCCUCGAGGAGUGGCCGCACGAGGGAUACGGUAAAGCUGACUGUGUGUGUCUGUUAUUGUUCAUUAUUACCAAGGAGAAGCCCUUGUUAUUGCUGUGCUAUUGACAAGUUGUAAUUAAUUAACAACAUUUCUUUUUAUAGUGUCUAACAUAAUUAU